UUCUAUUAGUAAUAAUUAAUAGUAUAAUCUGCUCAAUGAAAAUUAAAUAGCCGCUAUUAAGUGCUAAGGUAGCAUAAUCAUUUGUCUUUUAAUUAAAGACUAGAAUAAAAGAUCAUUCAUUUCAAUAUAUUUAUUAGUUUAAUAUAUUUAAACUAUCCUAAUUGUAAAAAGACAAUUAUUUAUAAAAAAGACGAUAAGACCCUAUUGAACUUAACUCCAGUUCAACUGGGGCAGUUAAUCAAUUAUUACUUUUUUAAUAUUAUUUCCUUUAUUUACCUAACUAAAUUAAUUACCAAGUUACCAUAGGGAUAACAGCGUAAUUAUUUUAUUUAGCUCUUAUAAAAACUAAGAUUACGACCUCGAUGUUGAAUUAUUUACUAAUUAAUGAAACUAUUAUUAUAGAUGGUCUGUUCGACCAUUAAAAAAUCACA
This 431-nucleotide ribosomal RNA is filed under the name Tengella radiata. RNAcentral's name for it is "partial 16S ribosomal RNA". Lineage: Eukaryota; Metazoa; Arthropoda; Arachnida; Araneae; Zoropsidae. The record is from RNAcentral.